RNAcentral lists this ribosomal RNA (3931 nucleotides) under Triticum aestivum (bread wheat). Its description in RNAcentral is "partial small subunit ribosomal RNA". Lineage: Eukaryota; Viridiplantae; Streptophyta; Magnoliopsida; Poales; Poaceae. The record is from RNAcentral.
AGAAACGAAGUGAGCAGUGGAAAACAGGAAAGACAAGAAACAACUGCGCGAGUACCCGUCCCGUCUGUCCCGCGGCCGCUUCCCUCCCCCUCCCACCCUCUUCCUUCCACCCGGAUCUUGCGCGCGGCGGAGAUAACACCGAGCCACCUCUUCAGCCCUCUCAUCCGCGCGGAUGAGCGGCGGCUCGGCCCCCCUCCCCUACUCGAUGCGAGAUGUGGAUGGCGGCGCAUACAACAACGCCAAGUUCCGCCAACGAUCUCGCCUCAAGAUGGUUACCCAGGCUCUUAUUUCUAAGAGCAGCAAAUACCAAUUUGGAAAAUUCACCCUUGGGAAAUUCUUGAGUCUUCUAAUGGUUUCUGGCUUAAUAUACUUGCUUGCGCACAAAAGUUCGAAGGGUUUUGUAUCUGGUGAGCUCCAUGACAAAGAAGUAGAGAGUAGACAUGCCAGUAAAGAUUCUCCCACUAUCCGUACAUUCUGGAGAAAGCCACCAAGGCUACCUCCACGUCUUCCUCCAAAUGAAAUAUAUAAGAACAGUUCAACACUUCACCACCCCACUUCAUCUGAAUGGACAUCCAGGCAGAAGAAAGUUAAAGAAGCAUUCGAACAUGCAUGGUCUGGCUACCGAAAUUAUGCGAUGGGUCAUGAUGAGCUUAUGCCUUUGAGCCGCAGAGGUGUAGACGGAUUAGGAGGUCUAGGUGCUACUGUUGUGGAUUCUUUAGACACUGCAAUAAUAAUGGGUGCUGACGAUAUUGUGUCUGAAGCAUCAAAAUGGAUUGAAGACAACCUAAUGAAAAAGAUCAGCGAGAAAGGGCAGGUCAACUUAUUUGAAACCACUAUCCGUGUCUUGGGAGGGCUUCUUAGUGCAUAUCAUUUGAGUGGUGGAGACCAAGCAGGAGGAGGUGAUUCUGGGAUAGCAGUAACACCUAACAAGACUAAUCCAGAUCGUCUUCUGGCAGUCUCAAAGGAUUUAGCAGACAGAUUAUUGUUAGCUUUUACAUCAAGUCCAUCGGCUAUACCUUUUAGUGAUGUUGUUCUUCGUGAUCGUUCUGCACAUGCAUCCCCUGAUGGCUUAAGCAGUACCUCUGAGGCUACAACAUUGCAACUGGAGUUCAGUUACCUUAGCAGAAUAUCAGGAGAUCCAAAGUAUGACUCAGAGACAAUGAAGGUGUUAGAGCAUAUGCGAACACUCCCAACAGUGGAGGGUUUGGUGCCUAUUUAUAUUAAGUAUGCAUGGCUUCAACCCUUAUGUAUCUUUCCCUACUCUGGACAGUUUAGCGGAGAGAAUAUUCGACUAGGGUCGCGUGGUGACAGUUACUAUGAGUACCUAUUAAAAGUUUGGAUUCAGCAAGAAAAUUAUCGUAACACUAGCUUGAAGUAUCUAUUUGAAAUGUAUACGGAAGCAAUGAAAGGGGUCAGGCAUCUUCUUGUUCGGAAAACUACUCCAAAUGGGCUAGUUUUUGUUGGGGAGCUUCCCAGUGGACGAAAUGGUGCUUUUAGCCCUAAAAUGGAUCACCUGGUUUGUUUUCUUCCUGGCACCCUUGCUCUGGGUGCAACAAAGGGUAUCACUAAGAAAAAGGCUCUUGAAAGUAAUCUUCUAACUAAGGAAGACAUAGAAAAUCUUCAGCUUGCUGAAGAUCUGGCUAAAACUUGUGUUGAGAUGUACUUUGUGACUUCUACUGGACUUGCUCCUGAAAUUGCUUAUUUUCACAUUGAGGGUAAUCCUGAAGGUGGACCUGAUGGUGGGAACAAAAGUUCUGAAUAUAUUAGUGACAUCAUAAUCAAGCCUCUUGAUCGUCACAACCUUUUACGCCCAGAGACUGUGGAAUCCCUAUUUGUUUUGCAUAGAAUCACAGAGGAUCCAAAGUAUAGGGAGUGGGGUUGGCAAAUUUUUCAGGCCUUUGAGAAGUAUACAAAAGUUGAUUCUGGUGGUUAUACUUCACUGGAUGAUGUCACAAGCCUACCUCCACCUAGGAGAGACAAAAUGGAAACCUUCUUCCUGGGGGAAACAUUGAAGUACCUGUAUUUGCUGUUUGGUGAAAGUAAUAUUCUUCCACUGGACAAGUAUGUAUUUAAUACUGAGGCCCACCCACUUCCGGUCAUUCGGUCUGUGGUACAGGUUUCUAAUACCGUAUAGCAUCAAAUGUAUCACUGUUGUACUUAGUGUACUAAGAUGAGAAAGGUUAACUAACAGAAAUGUGAGAAAUCUUAGAACUUUGUUUUGGACAACCAGGCUGAAACAAUGAGUAGCUUUCUCCUUUCUGGAUGUUUGUGCUUGUGCCACAGGUGGUUCAAGUGGCAAGAAAAUCGUUCUUGGAAGCAAAGCUCAAAUAUUUGUCAUCUUAAUAGUUUGAUACAGAGAUCUGCACUUGUAUUUAUUGGAAGAUCAUAUAUCUUCUCUAAACUGUGCAAUCCAUUCCAAUUCUGAAAUUACUUCAUGGCACCACCAAGAUUUUUAUCUUUGUUAUAUCUACUAUCAUGUGUCAGCCGUCCAACCUCAUAUAAUGUCCCACCAAGUUGGACUAUGCCUACCUGGUGAGUGAAACUAUGGCUCUAUAUCUUAUUAUUAUCUCCAGUUGUUGCUCAUUCCUAGCCCUUUUUGUACAUGCUUCUCGUUUUUAUUUGUUGUAUUAUGGUGGGUACUUUAAAUGCUUGGUUCUAAAAAUAUUUUGAUAUCUUCAAACUGGAUAAUCCUGAUUUACAUCCUUCAUUAGUGGCCACCAAAAAUAGUUUUUUUUGCGGGUGACCAAGAAUAUUUGUUACUAUAACUUUAUGAUACCCUAGUUCAACAGUUAUCUCUUGAUACCGCUGACUGCUGACUGCUGACUGUUUCCAGUUUUGAAAUAGCAAAUCGUACUAGUUUCUGCCAAUUACAUCAUUUUGUCAUUCAGUUCUAGUGCCAGAUUUUGAUUAUAUUUCAUAAAAGAAUGUUUUGUGUCUCCCUGCAUUUGUAUACCAUACAAUUUCUUGGUACUGAUCAGCCUAUUCUUUCUAAGAUUUUAUCAGGCGUCCGAAUUUCAUUUCCGCAUGACCUGAAGUAAAUGAACCAUGUGUACCAUCUUGAUAAUAGUUUUGACUUGUGAUAGGAUAAUCUAGUGUUCAAGCUGUGUUGUUUGUUCAUCAUAUGCAUUUAAACAGAAUAAGUAUUGUGAUAUAUACAACUCUCAGAUUUGGCAUGCUUGUACUUUGCUGUUUAUGCCUGUAAUAAUGACUGGAAAUUCUUCUGCUGUCAGAUUGUUGAAUAUUUUAUGGUGCUGAUGAAUUCGUGGUUACGUUUUGUCUCCAUUUUCCAAUUUGCAUCACUCUAAUUUUCCAUUCUUGCACCUUCGUUAAUAGUUUUUUUUUUCAUGACUUCAUGUCUGCCAUGGAAUUUUGACUUCCAGUUAGCCAUUAACUCUGUCCAUUGCAGGUGUACCUUUUGUCUCAAGAGAACUGCCCAUGCUUGUUUGGAAAGAUAUUAGUGAUAAUAACAUGGAUAAAAUCUGUAGAACCAGACAUGCAAGAUUUUUUCACAUAGUUGCAUGCUUUUGACACAUCGAUCACAAAUUACGCCUUUAACAAAAUUUCAUUCAAGUUAACAAACUUGAGGUCAAGCACACACAUGUCAACGAUAGAUGCAAGGGCUUAUUAUUUUCAGUUGUUAGUAAGCUCACUGCUUCUUGCAUCAAUUCCCGGAGUACAAUUAUUUAAACUUUGUGUUUGUGCUGAAAAUAUCAUUGACCAUAUGUGCUGAAAAUACCACUGAACCAUAACUUCAGUUGGCAAACAUGCAUUAACAAGUCAUCAUUUUAUGAAUUCUUGCCUUUUUUAGUGUCAGAAGGAACUGCCAUAUUACCUACCAAUAAACUAGCUUUGAGCAACAAUUAUUUUGUAUUUACAGUGCAGACGAGCUCUUGAUUGAACAGGUCAAACAUUUAAAUUCAAUUGGAAUUUC